ACGGCGAGUGAAGCGGCAACAGCUCGAAUUUGAAAUCUGGCCUCGGCCCGAGUUGUAAUCUGUAGAGGAUGCUUUUGGCGCGGUGCCUUCCGAGUGCCCUGGAACGGGACGCCACAGAGGGUGAGAGCCCCGUAUGGUCGGACACCAAGCCUGUGUAAAGCUCCUUCGACGAGUCGGGUAGCUUGGGAAUGCUGCUCUAAGUGGGAGGUAAACUUCUUCUAAAGCUAAAUACUGGCCAGAGACCGAUAGCGCACAAGUAGAGUGAUCGAAAGAUGAAAAGCACUUUGAAAAGAGGGUCAAAUAGUACGUGAAAUUGUUGAAAGGGAAGCGCUCAUGACCAGACUUGCGCCGGGCUGAUCAUCCAGUGGCCUCCACUGGUGCACUCUGCCCGGCUCAGGCCAGCGUCGGCUGUCACGGGGGGACAAAAGCACUGGGAAAGUAGCUCUCUCCGGGGAGUGUUAUAGCCCUAUGCAGAAUACCCCCGCGGCGGCCGAGGUCCGCGCUCUGCAAGAACGC
This 516-nucleotide ribosomal RNA is filed under the name uncultured Cephalotheca. RNAcentral's name for it is "eukaryotic LSU rRNA". It matches the Rfam family "Eukaryotic large subunit ribosomal RNA", at positions 86 to 613 of the family's 3401-position model. Lineage: Eukaryota; Fungi; Ascomycota; Sordariomycetes; Cephalothecales; Cephalothecaceae. The record is from RNAcentral.